Molecule: ribosomal RNA, 442 nt
Filed under: uncultured bacterium
Lineage: Bacteria
Description: partial 16S ribosomal RNA
Rfam family: Bacterial small subunit ribosomal RNA
Source: RNAcentral
CCUACGGGAGGCAGCAGUGGGGAAUAUUGGGCAAUGGGCGCAAGCCUGACCCAGCAACGCCGCGUGAAGGAAGAAGGCUUUCGGGUUGUAAACUUCUUUUGUCAGGGAAGAGUAGAAGACGGUACCUGACGAAUAAGCCACGGCUAACUACGUGCCGGCAGCCGCGGUAAUACGUAGGUGGCAAGCGUUGUCCGGAUUUACUGGGUGUAAAGGGCGUGUAGCCGGGUUGACAAGUCAGAUGUGAAAUCCUGCGGAUUAACAGCAGAACUGCAUUUGAAACUGGUGAUCUUGAGUACUGGAGAGGCAGACGGAAUUCCUAGUGUAGCGGUGAAAUGCGUAGAUAUUAGGAGGAACACCAGUGGCGAAGGCGGUCUGCUGGACAGCAACUGACGGUGAGGCGCGAAAGCGUGGGGAGCAAACAGGAUUAGAUACCCGUGUAGUC